AGCUUGCUGCUUUGCUGACGAGUGGCGGACGGGUGAGUAAUGUCUGGGAAACUGCCUGAUGGAGGGGGAGUAACUACUGGAACGGUAGCUAAUACCGCAUAACGUCGCAAGACCAAAGAGGGGGACCGUUCGGGCCUCUUGCCAUCAGAUGUGCCCACGAUGGGAGUUAGCUAGUAGGUGGGGUAACGGGCUCACCUAGGCGACGAUCCCCUAGCUGGUCUGAGAGGAUGACCAGCCACACUGGAACUGAGACACGGUCCAGACUCC
This 267-nucleotide ribosomal RNA is filed under the name uncultured Enterobacteriaceae bacterium. RNAcentral's name for it is "partial 16S ribosomal RNA". It matches the Rfam family "Bacterial small subunit ribosomal RNA", at positions 77 to 339 of the family's 1533-position model. Lineage: Bacteria; Pseudomonadati; Pseudomonadota; Gammaproteobacteria; Enterobacterales; Enterobacteriaceae. The record is from RNAcentral.